CCUCGUUUCUUGGGAUAGCAUCAUGCAGUGGCACAGGUGAUCAGAUUGUUCAGUCUCAGCUCAGGAAAAAGAGUGUCCUGUCAACGACCAUGUGCCCACUCUGAACCAGCAGUCUCUAAGAAGUUUGGAGCAACAUGAGUGGAAUGAUCCUUCCAACCUAGUGAGCCAAAGUUGAAAGGCAGGAAAGCUGCUGAAGAGUCCCAUGGCCUUGAGGAAAAAGGCAAAGCUAUUCUGCAUGAGGGAAAGGAAAGA
Molecule: long non-coding RNA, 252 nt
Organism: Hirundo rustica (Barn swallow)
Lineage: Eukaryota; Metazoa; Chordata; Aves; Passeriformes; Hirundinidae
Exons: 3
Source: RefSeq, a predicted model, not a curated record